UUUGUAAGUGAAUCAGGGCGCAUGGUGGAUGCCUUGGCAUCGAGA
This 45-nucleotide ribosomal RNA is filed under the name Mycobacterium sp. 2000-301020. RNAcentral's name for it is "partial 23S ribosomal RNA". RNAcentral also lists the same sequence under 1 other name. The record is from RNAcentral. Lineage: Bacteria; Bacillati; Actinomycetota; Actinomycetes; Mycobacteriales; Mycobacteriaceae.